This is a long non-coding RNA of Anolis carolinensis (green anole), 1580 nucleotides long. RefSeq lists it as uncharacterized. The record is from RefSeq and is a predicted model, not a curated record. NCBI's taxonomy places the organism in Eukaryota, Metazoa, Chordata, Lepidosauria, Squamata, Anolidae. The transcript has 3 exons.
UUCUAUCCCUCCUCCAUUUCCCCGAAGGAACUCGGGGCAGCUAACAGAGGGCAAAGCCUGAGAACAAUAAACAAAAUAAAUAGAUAAAACAGCAUAUUCAAAUAAGGAAACACAAUAAAAUCAGUCAGUCAUUGAUACAGUACAUAUACAAUAACUGUAAAAACCAAUUAAAACAUAAAAUGAUUAGAUAAAAGUUUUCCUUCUGUGAAAAUUUUAUAUUUAUUUUAGGACCAUUAUCAGAGAUACUUUUCCCAUUCCAGUUUUUCCCAUAGCCACAAGAAUUCAUCUAGAUCAAGUGCAGUAAACAGGAAUAACACUGUACAGAGGUAAAGACACACACAUGCAAUCAUGUUAUCUAUGCAUGGCAUCAUAACGUCUUUGCUUUAGGGCUAACCUACCAUUAAGCAGAAUACAACAACCACCUCAAGCAACAGAAAUGAAUCAUAAGGGCCAAACAUAUCAUAAGACAAUUCUAGAGAUUGCACGUAUACCUCAAAGAAUACACAACCAACUGAAACUUCAUUUUGGCAAUAGUGUAAUAUCUUCACAGGAUCCUGACUGAUAAUUAGAAAGCAUAAGGAAUUUGUACAAUUUUUGAGACAGUACAUUAGUUUCAUGGGACCAGGACAGGUUUCUAUUCUUACCACAAGAACCUGCCAUCUCAAAUAGGUUGCAUGUGUAGACUUUGCAUGCUUUUUGCGAGUUGCUCCAUAUCACAAGGAACUCAGUAUCUACCUUUUGCAUUAUAAUUGUUUCCAUUUUUCAUAGGUGGGGCAGCCGAGGUCAAGAGUGUGGACAUUCCAGUAUAGAGAAGGAACAAUGUAUGCACACCACCAGUCUGGACAGGAACCAACACAUAUGGAGUCAGGAGAAGCUGAGAGCACUCAAGCAGGCCGAUCACUCACAACAGGAGCCGGAGCCACACAGCUGAGAGGCCUGGAUUAAAUGGACUGAGAGCUGAUAGAGAAGUGACAAGGAGGAGCGGAGCAAAUCUCAAGAAAUGAUUUAAAACUUCCCCGGGAUGAGGCGAGGAACCCACGGUUAUAACCUUUAACGCCACUCCCCGAUAUCCCUAAGCAGAAAGACACAACUCAAAUGUAUACCAAUUCUUUGUAUACUUCAUUAAUCCUGAUGCGUUUGUCCUCAAUUAGGAAGUGCAAAACAUGCAUGAUGAAAAUUCUAAUAAUUGGGUUAUGCAUCCCCUUAAGUUUCACUUUUGUUUUACUCUGUUAUUGUAUAGGCAUUUUAUUGGAUACUGUCGUGUGCCGUUUUUGUAUUUAAUGUUGUUUUACUGUAAUUGUUUGGGUUUGGCCCCAUGAUAGACACCCCGAGUCCCUUCGGGGAAAUGGAGACGGGAUACAAAAAUAAAGUUAUUAUUAUUUUGUGGAAGAAUGCUUGGGGAGAGAAAGAGGAAAUAGUGUGAACAAAGAAAAAAGGUGCUAUCUCAAGUGUUAUUACACUACAUGUAUAAAGCAAUUCACAUUAUACUUAAUAUAUUUUUCCAUGUAUACUUUCAGUAAUAGAAAUGGUUCAAGCAAUAAAAACAAUUGGUCAAUAAAUGUUAUGACACAUCAGAGAAA